This 1448-nucleotide ribosomal RNA is filed under the name uncultured bacterium. RNAcentral's name for it is "bacterial SSU rRNA". It matches the Rfam family "Bacterial small subunit ribosomal RNA". The record is from RNAcentral.
AGAGUUUGAUCCUGGCUCAGGACGAACGUUGGCGGCGUGCCUAACACAUGCAAGUCAAGGGUAGCAAUACACUGGCGCACGGGUGAGUAACGCGUGGGUAAUCUGCCCAUAUCACAGACACAACAUCGAGAAAUCGGUGCUAAUAUCUGAUGAGGCGAGAAAUCGUCAAAGCUUCGGCGGAUAUGGAUGAGCCCGCGUCUGAUUAGCUAGUUGGUGGUGUAAUGGACCACCAAGGCAACGAUCAGUAGCUGGUCUGAGAGGACGAUCAGCCACACUGGAACUGAGACACGGUCCAGACUCCUACGGGAGGCAGCAGUGAGGAAUAUUGGUCAAUGGGCGCAAGCCUGAACCAGCGACGCCGCGUCAGGGAUGAAGGGGCUUUGCCCUGUAAACCUCUGUCGAGUGGGAAAAAGGGGCUCUUAUGGAGUCCGGGAUUGUACCACUGGAGGAAGCACCGGCUAACUACGUGCCAGCAGCCGCGGUAAUACGUAGGGUACAAACGUUGUCCGGAAUUACUGGGUGUAAAGGGUGCGCAGGCGGGUAGGUGCGUCAGAGGUUAAAUAUUUCGGCUCAACCGAAAAAAUGCCUUUGAUACGGCCUAUCUUGAGUACGAGAGAGGAUGAUAGAAUUCCUGGUGUAGCGGUGAAAUGCGUAGAUAUCAGGAGGAAUACCAGUGGCGAAGGCGGUCAUCUGGCUCGUAACUGACGCUUAGGCACGAAAGUGUGGGUAGCGAACAGGAUUAGAUACCCUGGUAGUCCACACCCUAAACGAUGUAUGCUUGGUGUUGGGGGCUUGCCCUCAGUGCCGAAAGGAAACCCGUUAAGCAUACCACCUGGGGAGUACGAUCGCAAGGUUGAAACUCAAAGGAAUUGACGGGGGCCCGCACAAGCGGUGGAUCAUGUGGUUUAAUUCGAUGCAACGCGAAGAACCUUACCUGGGCUUGAACUGCAAGAAGUACAGAGAUGAAAGUCAACGGAGCCGUAAAAUCGGCAACUUGUAGAGGUGCUGCAUGGCUGUCGUCAGCUCGUGUCGUGAGAUGUUGGGUUAAGUCCCGCAACGAGCGCAACCCCUAUCUUUAGUUGCCAUCAGGUCAUGCUGGGCACUCUAAAGAGACUGCCUACGCAAGUAGAGAGGAAGGCGGGGAUGACGUCAAGUCAUCAUGGCCCUUAUGUCCAGGGCUACACACGUGAUACAAUGAUAGAUACAAUGGGCGAAGCCGCGAGGUGGAGGAAAUCCCCAAAGUCUAUCUCAGUUCGGAUUGUAGUCUGCAACUCGACUACAUGAAGUUGGAAUCGCUAGUAAUCGUAGAUCAGCACGCUACGGUGAAUACGUUCCCGGGCCUUGUACACACCGCCCGUCAAGCCAUGGAAGCUGGGGGCGCCCGAAGCCGGUAGAAGUACCGUCGAAGGCGAACUUAGUGACUGGGGCUAAGUCGUAACAAGGUAGCC